This 71-nucleotide transfer RNA is filed under the name Marmota monax (woodchuck). RNAcentral describes it as "tRNA.Ala". Lineage: Eukaryota; Metazoa; Chordata; Mammalia; Rodentia; Sciuridae. The record is from RNAcentral.
GAGGUUGUGGCUCAAAGGUAGAGUGCUCACCUAGCACAUGUGAGGCACUGGGUUCAAUCCUCAGCACCACA